CAAUGUCCUUUCACCGAAGCCAAUCAAUUGUGUUCCAGCUGUGUUCUCCCCAUGAGGGUGUGUUUACACUGACUUCAGCGUGGAGUCAUUACAUCAGAAUCAGAUGGAUAUUGGGUGACAGAAAGCCCUGGCAGCAUUAAACUUGUUUUACUCCUGUUGCUCUAGCCUGGUGGAGAAACAUCUGCUAGUGAAAGGAUGCACUUUUGAAUAUAUAUCUUUAGAAGAUCAUUCAUUCUUCAGAUUCCUGGAACUUUAACAACAAAUUUUAAACAGACCCCAAAACGCUGCAAGGAUCACAUGCCCAAAUCAGAGCUGAACAAAUCAUUUUCAGGAAUUACAAGGGAGGCAUCAACACAGCUAAAUACUGAUAGUGUAGCAACUAUAAGAGAUGGAAAGAUACUCCACACCUGUGUGUGGCUCCUCAGAGGAUGAGGUGAAAAUUUACCAACAUUACCAUCCCAUACCUCAACAGCAUCCUCACAACCAUCAUUACAACCACUAUCACCACCGUGGCUCACACAGUCAUGGAAAACACACUGAAAAACAUACUCACCAGCACCACGACAACCAGCUUCACUUUUAUCAUCCUGCAAACCCUAAAAUGUCUGGAGACCAUCACAGAGUCUCUAAAAGGUCUUCCUCCAGCCUGUCCUCCUCCUCUUCCACUUCUUCAUCUGGAUCUUGGACCUCUGAGCCCAGCCUGGAUGAUGAGACGUAUCUCAUGCACAAACCCCAGCAUUCCCUGUCCUGCUCCAACAUCCCUGAGGUCCGAAGGAAAAGCCAUGACAGAGAAUCUGAGGACUUUGAUUUUGAUCUGAGUGAUCAGGGGCACCGCCACAGUCUAGAAAACGCAGUCGAACUGCUGCCUGGUUCUCAGCAUGGACAUCAGAUGCCAAAACUCUCCCGGGACCAUAGCAAAAGCGAGGAGGGCCUUCAACAAAACAAGCAUAAAGAUGGUUGCUCAGCAGGAUCUCACUCCAUAGAUCAUGGGCCUCUUUACAAGACAGCAAGCCUGGGACAAAGCCUUGCCUUUGGUGGCAAUAAUGAUAACACUCUAGGUGGCAGAGUGGUUCCCAAGAAGGCUGUUUCAUCUAUUCAGUUGCCCAGCAAAGGUAUUCUGAAAAACAUAGAUGAGGGACAGAAAGAUGGAAACUUCAGGAAAGCGAAGUCUAUGGAGGUGCUCUCCACCAGGGUGCACGUCACAGGAACAUCCGAGCAGAUCUCUAUGGAAGCUGCAAGUGAUAACUUUGUGAAAGGGAAGCUACAGUUCUCUGCAUUUCUGGACGAGAUCACCAGGCAGGUUAUCAGUCCCUGUGCUCUUAGCUCUUUUGGCGUAAAUACACCAACGCCACCAAAAUCUCCCAAUGAAGAGCGCAAGAACCGUGGCAGCAAACGGGAGAGCUUUGUGCCGCCACCAAAACAGCAGCCCAUCAGAGCUGAGAGACCAGAUUCAGGAAAAACAGAUUCAAGCUCACUCUCUCGAUCCCAUAAGAGCAAAAACCACAACCGAAACCUGACCAGCCCUCCAUCGCUGCCCUGCCGCCCUUCAAAAGCUGAAAGACAAGGGGCUGCUUCAGGGAAACAGCACCACAGACAAUAUUCCCAGAUGUUCACUGAUGGUACCAGCACCAGCCCAGAAACUAUCCACACCAACCUCUCGAAACACAAAGGGCGACAUCAAAGUAGUCAUGGCCCGUCCAGGAACUUCCAUACUAAGCAGGCAAAGGGAUCACCGCCGCCUCGGCGAGCGGCAGGGCUGGAGUUAGAGUCCCAGUCAAGUAAAUCAUCCACCAGUGCUAGUUCAGAGAAAAGUGACAGACCCAAACACAUGGGACACAGGAGGCAGUCCAAACCACACAGGGAUUCAUCUGGUUCCGUGGACAGAGUUCAGAUGCUGGAGGAGCACAACAAAGAGCUACAUGAGACCCUGUUGCAGACUGUGGCAUGCAUUGAGAACAUGGAGGCAGAAUUGCAAAGUACCAAGACAGAGUUAGUCAGCUUCAAAGAGAAAUACAGAAGGCUACAGGAAAGCUAUUCUGUUUCUCAGCAGGCAAGCAGUAUCUUGGAGCAGAAACUCAAAACUGCAGUAGACAGCUUGGACUCAGAGAGGAAGUUCCUCAUGCAGAGAAUUGCAGAUCUGACUAAACAGCUGGAUACUGCUCAGAAGACCAUCAGCUCUCUGGAAAACAUUAAUGUUCCCUCACUGAUUAGAGAGUUGUUGAAAAAUCACUUAGACUCUCAUGAAGCACUGGAGCACUUGUUAUGUCCUCAAACAUAUCCACGCCAAACUGAUGGAUACCAAUCAGAGAGGGUGAAGGAGCUCAGAAACAACCAACCGUUUGAUGGAAAAAGGGAUGUUUUUGAAUGGCCACAGACUGGACACACAUGCUCAGGUGCCAGACAACAGCCUGCCACAACCUUUCUGCCAUGGAAACAUGAUCACGAUCCAUGGGCAGGGCCAGGGCAACUUGUGACUGAAGGAAGUGACUCACAACUUCCUUUUUCUUUUAGUAAUGAUAUGCCAAUCCAGAACACGAUGGCAGAUACAAAGGCACCAAAUCAUCAAGUGCACCAAUUAGCCAUGAACACAGAGAUCCACUUAAUUCCCCCAAACCCAUAUAAUCCAGUUGAGAUGAGGCUCAGCAGACAGACAGGUGGAGAGGGAACUGUCACUGUGGGGAAAGAGCCCACUGAUGUCAGCUAUCUUACAGCUCAAAGGAUGCUGAAUGAGUUUUUGAACCAGAUUCCUCCUCCAGCGCAUGAUGGUGAAGGAAAAGAUACAGCAGAGCUAACAGAAGAGAAGCAGUAACAUUUCAUUUGACGUCUUUUGGUAAACUGUAUAGGAAAUUAAAAAUCUCUAACACCUCCCGUUACCAAUAUUGCAGCAAGGAUGCAAAUAACUGUGGCUCUGAUAUUUGUGAAAUAAACUUAAUUUCUAGCUUUACA
Molecule: long non-coding RNA, 2946 nt
Organism: Cyprinus carpio (common carp)
Lineage: Eukaryota; Metazoa; Chordata; Actinopteri; Cypriniformes; Cyprinidae
Source: Ensembl